Molecule: microRNA, 21 nt
Filed under: Arabidopsis thaliana (thale cress)
Lineage: Eukaryota; Viridiplantae; Streptophyta; Magnoliopsida; Brassicales; Brassicaceae
Description: ath-miR5024-3p
Source: miRBase by way of RNAcentral
CCGUAUCUUGGCCUUGUCAUU